GACGUAGGGGACGAGCGUUGUCCGGAUUCAUUGGGCGUAAAGCGCGCGUGGGCGGUUUGGUAAGUCGGACGUGAAAACACGAGGCUCAACCUCGUGCGUGCAUCCGAUACUGCCCGACUAGAGGUAGGUAGGGGAGAUCGGAAUUCCUGGUGUAGCGGUGAAAUGCGCAGAUAUCAGGAGGAACACCGGUGGCGAAGGCGGAUCUCUGGGCCUUACCUGACGCUGAGGCGCGAAAGCGUGGGGAGCAAACAGG
This 253-nucleotide ribosomal RNA is filed under the name uncultured bacterium. Its description in RNAcentral is "partial 16S ribosomal RNA". It matches the Rfam family "Bacterial small subunit ribosomal RNA", at positions 524 to 776 of the family's 1533-position model. The record is from RNAcentral.